Molecule: ribosomal RNA, 432 nt
Filed under: uncultured bacterium
Lineage: Bacteria
Description: bacterial SSU rRNA
Rfam family: Bacterial small subunit ribosomal RNA
Source: RNAcentral
AACGCGAAGAACCUUACCUAGGCUUGACAUGUACUGGAAUAUUGGCGGAAACGCCGUAGCUCGCAAGAGUCGGUACACAGGUGCUGCAUGGCUGUCGUCAGCUCGUGUCGUGAGAUGUUGGGUUAAGUCCCGCAACGAGCGCAACCCUGCAUUUAGUUGCCAGCAUUCAGUUGGGCACUCUAGAUGGACUGCCGGUGUUAAACCGGAGGAAGGUGGGGAUGACGUCAAGUCCUCAUGGCCCUUAUGCCUAGGGCUACACACGUGCUACAAUGGUGGUCACAGACUGAAGCGAAGCCGCAAGGCGAAGCAAAUCGGACAAAAGCCAUCUAAGUUCAGAUUGAUCUCUGCAACUCGAGAUCAUGAAGUUGGAAUCGCUAGUAAUCGCGGAUCAGAACGCCGCGGUGAAUACGUUCCCGGGCCUUGUACACACCG